Fopius arisanus is the source of this 768-nucleotide long non-coding RNA. RefSeq lists it as uncharacterized. The transcript has 4 exons. NCBI's taxonomy places the organism in Eukaryota, Metazoa, Arthropoda, Insecta, Hymenoptera, Braconidae. The record is from RefSeq and is a predicted model, not a curated record.
UAAUUCUUUCCUCUGCAACUUGAUCAAACAUUCAAAAUAAAAAAAAUAAGAAGAAAAGAGGGCACCACAUGCAAACAUCAAAUCAAAUGUUUUCAGUGUACAAACUAAACGACUAUUGUAAUCAAUAAAAAAAAUUCGUUUUACGACAGACAUAAUUUUUUUUAUUAUUAUUAAAUAUCCCUUCGUGAACUGAAUUCUUCAUAGAUCAUAACCUAACGCUGCUAAAUCAUAGAAAAAUUACGUGCAUUGUGUGAGAACGUAUUUUUUUGGUUCACGGUGGCUUUGACACGCUAUCUACAUGACAAUUCAUCGCUUGAUGGCAAUAAUACGGCUCCAACUAAGAAGUGUCUGUAUUAAAUAAAUUUCCUGAAUUCAACAACAAACAAUUGAAAUUGUAAAGAUAUCGCCUAUUUUUCGGCCAAACAUAAAAAGCCAACAUCGAAAAUACAAGAUAAUUUUGCGUACCGAAGUAGAAGUACUUCUUUAUUUCGUAUUAGGGACAGGACUUUCCUCAAGGAGGCAUGCAGUAAACAAAUUGGCAUAAGAGAAAAAAAAUUUUAAUUGAGACUCUGUAUCUGCUGAUUAUUGACGAAGCGUAUCAUUACGGACAAGUCAAUUGAGUUUUACCCAAAAAGCCAUUUCAAAAGACAACAAAAGUAUCAAUAACAUACCAGUGUCGAAACAGAAAUAAUACACCAGAAAAAAAUUAUUACCAAGAAUUUUGUAGAAAAAAUAUCACUACGAACUUCCUUAUUCAAUAAAUACCAA